Camillea tinctor is the source of this 133-nucleotide non-coding RNA. The record is from the annotation of a GenBank genome assembly. Lineage: Eukaryota; Fungi; Ascomycota; Sordariomycetes; Xylariales; Graphostromataceae.
GGGCUUGUGGUCUAGUGGUAUGAUUCUUCCUUAGCACUGAUGAGGCUUUUCUACGAAAGAGGUUUAACCUCUACAUCGUGAGACCACAUCGUGAACUUGGAAGAGGUCCGGGGUUCAAUUCCCCGCGAGUCCA